This 497-nucleotide ribosomal RNA is filed under the name uncultured bacterium. Its description in RNAcentral is "partial 16S ribosomal RNA". It matches the Rfam family "Bacterial small subunit ribosomal RNA", at positions 28 to 507 of the family's 1533-position model. The record is from RNAcentral.
GACGAACGCUGGCGGCGUGCCUAAUACAUGCGAGUCGAGCGAAAGGACGAGAAGCUUGCUUCUCUGAUGUUAGCAACGGACGGGUGAGUAACACGUGGAUAACCUACCAAUAAGACUGGGAUAACGGCGGGAAACCGGAGCUAAUAACGGAAAAUAUUUUGAACCGCAGGGUUGAAAAGUGAAAGAGGGUCUUGCUGUGACUGAUAGAUGGAUCCGCGCUGCAUUAGCUAGUUGGUAAGGUAACGGCUUACCAAGGCAACGAUGGAUAGCCGACCUGAGAGGCUGAUAGCCCACACUGGAACGUGGACACGGUCCUGACUCCUACGGGAGGCCGCAGUAGGGAACCUUCCGCAAUGGGCGGAAGUCUUACGGAGUAAGCCCGCGUGAGUUACGAAGGUCCCCGGUUCGGAAAACUCUCUUAUUAGUUAAGAACAUAUUUGUAAGUAAAUGUGCACUUCUUGACGGUACCUAAAUAGAAAGCCCCGGCUAACUACGUG